Cercocebus atys (sooty mangabey) is the source of this 96-nucleotide unclassified non-coding RNA. It matches the Rfam family "Y RNA". Rfam says of the family: Y RNAs are components of the Ro ribonucleoprotein particle (Ro RNP), in association with Ro60 and La proteins. Lineage: Eukaryota; Metazoa; Chordata; Mammalia; Primates; Cercopithecidae. The record is from Ensembl.
AGUGCAAUGCAGUGGUGUUUAUAACCAAUUGAUCACAACCAGUAACAGAUUUCUUUGUUCCUUCCCAUUCCCACUGCUUCAUUUGACUAAAUUAAA